AACGUGGAUUUGGGCAGAGAACGUGGAUUUGGGCAGAGAACGUGGAUUUGGGCAGAGAACGUGGAUUUGGGCAGAGAACGUGGAUUUGGGCAGAGAACGUGGAUUUGGGCAGAGAACGUGGAUUUCCCCAGAACGUGAUUGUAGACGGCUGGUGUGAGUUCGGGAAUAAAGAGUUGCUGUUUGAAUCUACAAGCUGUGUGGUGGCUCGUGAUUGUGUGCCCAGCCAGACUUCGGCAUUUGUGCCCAGCCAGACUGCGGCACUGGCUUGCUCUUCUGCCACAUCUCAGCAUGCUCCUAGAUUCCUGGGGGGGUGAUUCAAAGGCAGAUAAAACUUUCACUGUUCAAUUGGGAAGAUAAGAUGAAAACAUACAGCAAUCAGAAAACAAUUCAAGAUGGCGUUUUGGCUCUUCCACACCAGCCUACAGCUUUGAGCCAGACUCGUAAAUGCUUUGAGUCUAAGCUUUAUCAUUUUAAAAUACAGAUAUUAUGAACACUUUCCUCAUGUAUCUCACGGGGUAUGGUGAAGACCAAAGGAGAUAAUGGGUAGCAAAGUAUGUCUAAGAUAAGGGAAUACAAUGGCCCUUAAAUAUAUACAACAAUGUUCAACCUCAUUCAGAAUAAGAGAAAUGAAAAUUAAAAUUACACUGUGAUAAACAAUUUUUUCACCUAUCAGAUUGGCAUCAGCCCAGAAAGUUGAAAAUACACUCUAAUAGUGAUGUUGUAAGGAAAUAAGCAUUCUCGUCUUUCUCCUGGGAAGACAAAUGUGUGUAACCUCUAUGGAGGGUAAUUUGGCAAUAUCUAUCAACAUUUUAAACACACAAUCUUCUGACCUAGAAAUUCCACGUCUGGGAAUUCAGCCUAUAAAUAUAUUCGCAUAAGUGCCAAGGAUCUGUUUACGGCUCUUUGUUGCAGGAUGUUUGUGAAGGAAAGAGAUUUGAAGUGAUAUAAAUGCUCAUCAAGAGGAGUCUCUUUUGGCUGAGGGCGUGGAUCAGGAUCAAGUGCUUGCCUAGGAUGAAGAGGCCCUGGGUGCCAUCCCCAGGGAUCUCUUUAAGAGGCUUUGAUUCAUUCGUAUCAUGGAGAAUUACACAGCAGUAAAAAGGGAAGAGGAAGAAAGCUUCACAAUUAUGUACAAAGCAGGUCAUCAAGUGAAGAAAAGUAAGGUACAGAGAGAGGUAUAGUGUAUAUAGUAGCUACAUUCUGUGUCUUUAAAAAAGGGAAAUAGGAAUAUUUGCCUGUGCACACAGAAUGAUACUCCAGAAGAAUCUUUGAGACUGUCAUGUAUAACUAAAAAGAAAAAAUAAAAGAAAAUUAUACUGAUGGUUAUCUAUCAAUCAGGGGCAAGCCUGGGGUCUGGAAGGGUAGGAGAGGGGAGGAGGGUAAACAGGGAGAUUCUUUGAUAUUUGCCUUUUACUGUAGAUUUUUGAAUUUUAGAACUAUUGUGAAUGUAUUCCCAAUUCAACAACAUACAUUAAAAAUUGCUUUGGGCUGGGGCUGUAGCUCAGGGGUAGAACACUUGCCUAGCACGUGGGAGGCAUUGGGUUCGAUCCUCAGCACCACAUAAAAAUAAAUAAAUAAAACAAACAUACUAAACUACAAGUAAAAAUAUUUAAAAAAAAAUGGUUUGUGGAUUGUGAAGCACUUUACCAAUGCUUGUUCCUUGGACUAUUGCUAGUAUUUAAGUGGAUUAAAUUGCAGGGUCUGCAGAAGGCCUAGAAGAGAAUUCUUGGGGGUCCCAGGGGGUAGGAUUAGCUGGAGUGUAGGGUCUUGAGGGAAGCAUUCCUUAUUGUUCAGUUCGACAAUGGCUGGUCAGAGUCUGCAAGUGUGGCUCAGUGGCAGUGUGCAUGCCACACACCAAGUCCUGGGGUCAAACCCCAGCACCCCAUGUUAAGCAGUCUGGCCCACCGUAGGCCAGACUGGUGAAGACUGCUCCUCUUGCCCAGGUGACCGUGGCAGUGAC
This 1957-nucleotide long non-coding RNA is filed under the name Marmota monax (woodchuck). The record is from RNAcentral. Lineage: Eukaryota; Metazoa; Chordata; Mammalia; Rodentia; Sciuridae.